UUCUCUUUCCCCUUUUCUCUUUCUCAACUCAUCCUUUUCUCUCUUCAACUCUGCAAACCCAAAAACACCUCUUUUCCCCUUUCCCUUAUCUUUCUGUCUUCAAAUCUGCAGACCCGAUAACUUAUAAUGAAGUUUAUCUGCUCAAAAUAAAAAAAUCCUAGAAUUAAAUUUCCGUUUACCUCUCAAUAAAAACACCCAGAUCUGAAAAACCAUAGUUUGAAUCGAAGAGGAAACAAAAGAUCAGAAUCCUUUUUCGGUUUUUAUUUUUCGAUUCAUUUUCUAAAACUAAGAACUUGUUACUUGUGUUCUUGUGAAACGAAGAAAUAUGGCUAACUGAUUUCGAUGGCCAACUGAUGUAAUUCCCUAACUGGAGAAAUUUAAUUUGUAGAAUUUUUUCAUUGAUUUUUGUUUUUAUUUUGCUGUAGAAUUUGAACUUGUAGAAUUUUUUUCAUUGAUUUUUCUUUUUAUUUUGAGUUGAUAUUAUUUGUGUUGGGUUUCCUUGUGUUUCGUUGUCUGAUUUAGUAUUUCUAUGAAUCCUGAAGGUCUUAGUUUCAUCUUUGCUGAGCUUAUUUUUGAAAAGCAUUAAUUACUAAUUUCUUUGUAUUUAACUUUCUGAUUUCGUAUCUCUCUAUAUGCACUUAUAUCAUCGUGAAGAUUUACUUAAUUUCAAUUUGUGCAGAUAAUUAAUCAGUUACCAAGCUUUAGGGAUUUUAAAUAAAUUUUAGUAAUUUUAGUUUUGAUGGUUAAGUAAAGACUUCCGGUUCUUACUAGCAUGGAUGAUUUGGAAAAACCCAUUAAUUUUAUAAGGGUUUUGAAAAUUUGAUUUACAGAGUUGUUGAUUUUUCUGUUUUGAACAAGAUGUUUUUCGAGAAUGUUGUUAUUGACUUGAUGAUGGGUCUAUUAGAACAACUGAAUGACUAAUAUUGGUUGUUGUAGGCAUGGAGGUUGAGUCUUUGGGUUCUAAAUGACUACAAUACAUUUAUUUUCACUGGGUUUUUCAUCUUACAUUAGAUGGGUUCAUCUCACCCUUGUUUUCAUUUUAUCCCGGCUUUUUAACUGUUACAUUAGAUGGGUUUAUAACUAAGUUGAUAACAGUCCCAGUGCCGAAGAGGAGCUGUAAAUGGAAUUUCAUCAACUGCAAUAUCUUUAUUCAAAGUAUUCGGUCCAGGUGGUGGUGGUGCCAUGUCUAUAUGAUUGAUCAAACUGCUGACUUGUUUGAUCGUUCUUCUAUACAAAUGAAAGUCACAAUCAUUCUUUGAUUUGGAUAACACAAACAAUGAGCUCAAAAAUGAAUUUGAAGGACCUUUAUCUUAACUCAACAGUGUAACGAAACACAAAUUCUCUAUGAUUUUACCAUGUUUACCAGUCAUCAUCAAUAUAACUUUUAUUAAUGUAAUAUAUUUGAAAACAAAAUAGCCAAGAAGAGAAGCUUGCUGGUUAAAGUGUGAGUAGGAAGGUUGUAAUGUUGAAGACUUAAAAGAGUUUAGGAAUGAUUAGGAGGUUUGGUUUGUCUCAAAAUGAAACUCUGAAUAAGGAAUCAGGGAAGAUUUGGAACAAGAAAACAACGAUAAAUGGUACGGUUGGCUAUCAAUGGGGUUGUAAACAAUUUGCAAAAUUAUAUAAAAAGAAUUGGCUAUUCGUGUUUGUAGAGCUCAACAGAUGUGUUUGUUACUGCUGAUAUCGGUGCCCUGCUUUACCAAGGCUGCCACAUAUGAAGAUUACUUCACAACUAGUAUACGUCUUUCUAUGUAUUUUCACUAGUAUACGUCUUUCUAUCUAUUCCCAUAAAUAUGAUUUAUUGAUGUUUCAGAUUAUUCUACCAGUAAGAGUGAUACUUCUUCGUGUAGUAUUUUCACUUCUUACCAAGUCAGAUUGGUGUAUAUCAAAAUUCAGAAGCAUGUGGAUCAGGAAUUAAGUUCCAAUUGUAGAUUUUAGCAGUAUUCGUUCAAUUGAAUUCAAGCAAGCACUCAAACUACUGUAAACUGCAUUCUAGAUUACAAACACCAGUAUAUUGGGCCAUGCAACCCAUUUAUAUAUGGUUGUUCCAUUUCAAUCUUUGAUAAUGUGCAUAUGAUAUGGUUUUUCUUUUUUAUAAACAUUUUAUAUAGUAUUGUGACCUCCCACAUUAAUCAGCUGAUGGUGAAACUUAUUUUUGAUGUA
Molecule: long non-coding RNA, 2160 nt
Organism: Papaver somniferum (opium poppy)
Lineage: Eukaryota; Viridiplantae; Streptophyta; Magnoliopsida; Ranunculales; Papaveraceae
Exons: 5
Source: RefSeq, a predicted model, not a curated record